AUUUAGUACAUUAGAAAACAUAUAGCAAGUUACCAAAUCUAAGAGUUAGAACUGGUCAGACUUCUGCCAAGUUACUUAAGUAAAAGAAUGGGUAACAACAUUAGAAAUUUUAAAAAAGCAUGUAUUCAAAAAAGCUAAAAAAAGGUAGGAAAUAUAGUUUAUAUUAUCACAAAAAACUUUAUUGAAAUGGAUGAUUUUCUAGGAAAUUUAAAAUUACUAAUUUUAAUUUUAGAAUAGUUGAAAAACACAGAAAAUAAAAACAUGUUAAAACAGAUGGUUGUACAGGAAAUUCACUUAAAUGUCUUAAGGAACAGAAAAUGAUCAUGUUAAUAAUCAUAGAUGGAAAACCUACCAAUCAAGCAUAAUCUUUAUAUCAAAAGCUAGCACAAGUGAUGAAUAAAAUUAUAGGUCAAUUUCACAUGUGAACAUAAAUAUGAAAAUGAUUAAAAAAGGGACCCUCCAUUAAAAUUAUAAAAACUAUAUCAUGACCAACAAAGUCUUAGUACUCCAUUUUAAGGAUGGUACCAAAUUAGGAAAUAUAUAAUUAAAACUUAUCACAUCAGGAGGUCACUGGAGAAGAAUCUGUAAUCAUCUACCAAAAAGACAUUUGAUAAAACAUAACAUCCAGUACUGACAAAAACUAUGAUUAAAAUAGGCAUAGAAGGAUAAUUAAUUAUCUCGGUGGUUCUCAACCAGGGACAUUUUUGUCUUGAGGAGACAUUGGCAAUUUCUGGAAACAUUUUCAUUGCCAUGAUUUGAAAAUGGUGCUAUUGAUUGUGAAGAGGCACAGGUCAAGGAUACUCCUUACUAAACAUCUCAAAAUGCACAGGAAAAUGUUUCCCUCCCCCUAUGAAGAAUUACCGAACUCCUAAUAUUGAUGAUACCAAGAUUGAGAGUUGGUUUAUGUGACAGUCAACCUCAUAACUACAAUGAGUACCAUACUAAAAACUGAAAAAUUGCAGGAAUUCUUGUUUCAGCCUUACAAGUCUAGGAUAAUUAUCCAAUGAACAAUAUAAUCAAAGCAAUAAAAAGAAGUGAGGAUUAAGUACUGGAAUGAUCAAAGCAUAGUAUUAUUUUGUGACAAUGUGAAAAAACCCAACAACAUUAUUGGAAAUACUCUUAUGCCAUAUAAAGGAGUUCAAUAAUAUCAAAUCUAAAGUUAGUAUGGGUGGGGGAAUAUAAUAAUACUUUUUCAGAUAAAAAAUUAAUUUAUAAACCCAUGAUGAACAAAAGAGUGAUACAUCAAAAUAAUCAGUUAAAUCAAUGGAAAUAAAGUCAAUAAAUAAGCAUAACUAUAGUAAAAGGGGAUGCACUAAAUAGUACAUAGAAGAAUAGCUUAAUAGCUAGGGAUGUAGCUCAGUGGUGCCAUGCCUGCCUCACAAGUGCAAGGUCCUGAGUUUGAUCUCUGGUACAGGAAAAAAGAAGAAAAGAAAGAAAAAGAAGAAUUUGUUAAAAAGGACAAGAUAUAAUAAUUGUACAUCAUCAUGUGCUUAACAAUAGAGCUUUGGAAAAUAUGAAACAAAACUAAUAGAAAUACAUAAAGAUAGUACAUAUUUGUGGGACAAAUUUCAUACUUCUUGAAGAAAUAAAUAUUUCAAAUAGACAAAACUAACAGUGUAUAGAAUAUAGAUGACAUGACCAAUAGCUUUAUACUAACAAACUUAUAGUGCACAUUCAUUUCAGACACACAUAAAUCAUUCAAACAAAUUGAUAACAGAAGAGAUCAUAAAGGAAAUCACAGCAAAUCUGAAAAAGUAGAAAUUAUAGAGGCUUCUUUAUUCCCUGAAUAAAUGAGAAAAGAACUAGAAGAGAUUAAAUCAAUCACUAUAAAUCAUAUAUAGAAACACUUACCAAAAAAUCUUGCAUUAAUAAGGAAAUGAAAAUUAUACACUACUUAGAAAUAAGCCACUAGAGCAUUAAAUAGUAAAACCUGUGAGAUGUGGCCAAAGCAGUUAUUAAAGGUCAAUUUAUGGACAUAAAUGCAUAAAUUAGAAAAUGAGGGAAAUUGAAAUCAAAUGUACCAAAAUAAUAUUUAGGAUACUAGGAAGAACAACAGAAACAAGAAAAAAAUAUCAAAUCUCCAGAGAGUAGAAGGAAGGACCUAAUGAAGAUUAAAAACUGACAGCAAUAAAAUAAGACCAACAAAGGCAGUGAAAUUGAGAAAAACAUCUUUAAGUUUGUUUAGGAAAAAAGGGUAUAAAUGAAUAGUAUCAUAAAGAGAUAAAAUGGUAUAAUUACAGAUCAGAAGGAAUAGUGUCUUUAUAUCAAUAACUGAGAAAAUAGAUGAAAUACCAAUUUUCUAAAAAAACAUACAAAUUAGCAACAUUAGCUCAAGAUGUAGUAGGCAUCCUAAACGUGCUAUUUCUACUGAUGAUGUGGGAAUGUCAGUUAAAGAUAUUCUUUUAGGAAAACCAUUAAGCUUGGAUGGUUCUAUUAUUUGACUUUAUUACACUUUUAGAAAAUAGAUAAUCAUUAUGUUGUAAAUUGGAAAGUUACCUUCUGAAUUAGUAUAAAUUUGAUAUUACAAUCAUAGCAGAAGCCAAAGCAUUUUUGCUGAUUAUUCUUUCAUGAUAAACAAGAAUCACCUCUUCAAAUAUUUGUUUCCCACAUGAGCUGUAAAAGAAAAAUUAUUAAGGGAAAAAUGUCUAUCAGAAAUCCAUACCAGUGACUAAACUAUGAAGAGUACUUCCAUUCAAAGCAUGACCUAGAGAAGGUUUCCUAUUAGUUCUACAUUGAAUAUUCUAUUGAAGUUCCAACCCCAUGCUAUAUAACAAGAAAAAAUUAAAAAGUCAUGUAGAUAAUGUAAAGAAAGAGAUAAUAGCAUCAUUUUGAUUUUUUUCAGCCAACUUCCCUAAGAAAGGGUAAGAUACAAUCAGUUGAGAAAUCAUUAGAGUUAUUAAGAAAGUUUCAUAUAAUGGCCCAAUACAAAAUAAAUAUAUAAAAAUGGAUAGCUUUUGAUACACAAGUACUAUCUCAUUAGAAAAAGUAAUAGACAAAAUAACCCAAUUUACAUAGCAUGAAAACUACAAAAUAUCUAGAAAAAAACAUUAGAUUAUUGAAAGGCAUAAUAGGCCCAAGUAAGAACCAUCAAGACAUAUUAUAAUCAUAUAUUGGUUCAAGUAGAAUGGUAUCCAUGCUAAAGAUUUGACUAGAGCAGUAUAAUAGUCUGGAAAAAGAUCCCUGUUUAUAUGCAUAUUAUUUUGUGAAAGUAGCAUUUCAUAUUAGUGAGAAAAAGAAUGAAUAAAUAGUAUGAAAAUAUGAGAUACCACUUGGAAAAGAAUCUAUCUAUCAUCUAUCUAUCUAUCUAUCUAUCUAUCUAUCUAUCUAUCUAUCUGUUACGGUACUGGGGAUUAAAACGGGUUUUGGCACGAGUGCACUGAGUUUACAUUUCCAGCCCUUAAAAAAAUUAUUUUGAGGUAGGAUCUGGCUAAGUUGUUCCAGGUUGGGCUGGGAUUUGAGAUCCUCCUGCCUUAGUCUCCCAGUACUUGGAUUAGGGUGUGCACCACUAUACCUUGCUGAAAAAUAUUGUAUUUUUUAAUGUUACUUUACUUGUCAGAGUAAGUUCCAGUGUUUUACAAAAACAAAACCUUUUAGGUUAACUUUUUAAGUUAGUAAAAUAUUAAAUACAUUAGCUAUAGAAGCAAAUAGAAGUCUGUCUCAAUAAAAUUGUAAGGUUCAUAAACAUUGAUCUCCUCGAAAUAGAAAGUAGAAUAUGGCCACUGGAGGCCAGAAUGAGUAGGUGGGAGAGAGAUGGAGGGAGGUUGGACAGUGAGUAUCAAAAUGAAUUUAGUUAGAAGGAAUAAAUUCAAGUGUUUUAUAACUCCAUAGUGUGAUAAAGUUUUAUAUGUGUUUUAUAAAGCACUAGAAGAGAGGAGUUGGAAGUCUACCAGUACAAAGAAAUGAUAAAUGUUUAAAGAGGUUGAAAUGCUAAUUACCCUGGUUUUAUCAUCACAUAUUGUAUCACAUAUCAAAUUGUAACCUUAUACCCCAUAAAUAUGUACAAAAACUUCCAUAUGACAAAAGAUACUAUGAACAAAAUUAAUAGAGUACAUGCUAGUGGAAAUAUUUACAAUAUCUGUAAUAAGCAGAAGAUUAAUAUCUAACAUAUGUAUAAAAUUUGGAAAUAAAAAGUAAAAAUCAUCAACCCAAAAGGAAAAUAAGAAAUGGAUUCUUGUUCUAUUUUUUUCUGCAGUACAGCUUUGCAAUUCUUCCAGGAAAGAUGUGGUGAACUUUGAGUCCUUAAACAAUUUAAAAUGUUUUUCUUUUGCCUUAAGGCUUGACUGAUAUUUUGGAUGGGUAUAGAAAUGUAAAUGUAGUAUAAUUUUCUUUCAAAAUUUGAAGGUGUUGCUCAAAAACAGUCAGAUGUCAGUGUGAUCCUUGUUCUUCUGCAAGUAAACUUUUUUUUCUAAAAAGUUUUUUAAUGUGCUUUCUGAAUUUCAGAGGGAUAACUUUGUAACUUUCUCCUGUUACCCUGCUUGGUAUUUAUGGAUUUUAUUGUUAACUCAAAGACUUUAUUUUCUUCUUCAGGUCUUGAAAAUUUUCAUUUAUUAGUUCUCUGAUUUUUUUUCCUUUCUGCCAGUCUAUUUUUUCCCAUUACCUCUCUGGGAUUUAGAUUUCAGGACUUUUGAAUUUACCUUCCAAGUCUCUUUUGCUAUGUCUCUGUCUCUGUUUUUCCCUUCCUUUCUCCUUUCCUUAGUUAAUUCCUUCCUUCCUUGGUAUAAUUUUGUCCUGUGUUUUAUUUUGGGGAAAUCAAUAUUCUACCUCAUUAAUUUACCCUUCAGCUAUGCCCAUUAGCUAUUUAACCAAGUGUCAUUUUCUUUUAAAACUGAACUGUCAUACUUUUUUGUCUUUGGGAUUUUAAAUUGUUUUUUUUUUUUUUUUGGUACCAGGGAUUGAACUCGGGUCCUUGCACUUGCGUGCCAGGUGGUGAAACCACUGAGCUAAAUCCCGGGCCCUUAAAUUGACAUUUUAAAAAUUAAUUUUAUUGGUACAUUUUAGGUAUACAAUAUAAUAACACUCAUCAUUGGAGAUUUGUACCUUUACAUAAUAUAUCUUGAUUCUUAUUUUAAAUUGAUUUUUGAAAUAGCCUACUUCACAGUCCAAAGAUAUCAUUAUAUUUUGUUAUUACUUUACUUGAAGUUGAAUCCUAUAUACUCUAUUGACUCAAUUGACACUACUGAUAUUUUAAAAAAUGUGUUGAAUAUGGCACCCAUGAACUAGGUUCACAGCGCACUGGGUACCGCUUCGGCCUGCUGUAUCUUGGGCUGUAAUUUCCAUUACUUGUAUGAGUUUGGUGAGAAAGAACUUAUACAACAUUUUAAGCAGAGCAACUUUAUUACAAAUAUAGGCAACAGAUGAUAGUAGAAGGCUAAGGAAAGUUGCUCUGAGAAGACAGAAUCUCACCUGUGUUCCCACCUUGCCAAACAGCUGAGAAACCCUAGAAAUCAGCCCCCUGUGCUUUAUCCCUGGGGUAACAUGACUAGCAGGGAUGAAGCAGUUUCUACGUGUCUCAGAAUGUUGAAUUUCCAGUACAUUCUGCAAUUAUUCUAAAGAACUACAAGCAAGAAAGUUGGGGAAACCGAGUUAGUCCAAGAAAGACCCUCCCCAAAGAAUUAUCCUACAUUCACUGACUGGGAUAGAUUUCCUAAAUGUUCAGUUGUCCUUGGCAAUAUCAUUGUUUUUAUAAUUAAGAACCUCAGUUAAUUUUUUCCAUAAUUUUAGAUGUAUAGCUUGAUCAGUUUUGACAAACGUAUCCAAUUAGGUAAAUAUCAAUACAAUCAAUGGAGACAUUAUUUGUAUUUUGCCAAAUUUCUUUUCUGCUCCUUUUUAGUAAUUCUGCUCCCCAUAUAUUGGCAACCACUUAUCUGUUCAUACUUCCUCUAGUUCUGCCUUUAUACUUCUGAGUCUGGCUUCAUUCGUUUAACUUAAGACUUUGAGCUGCUUCUAUAUUGUUGCAUUUAGAAUUCCAUUGUAUGGAUAUAGUACUACAAUUUGUUAAUGUGUUCACCAGUUGAUGGGCAUUUGGAUUGUUUCAGUUUUUGUGAUUACAAAUAACUGCAUAUGUCUUCAUUUCUCUGGUAAAUAGCUAAGGUGUAGAAUCGCUAGAGCAUAUAGUGAGUAUAUGUUUAACUUUAUGAGAAGCGUUAAUAUUUUCCUACUGACUAUGCUUUACAAAAAACUUUUUAUUUUGAGGUAAUUGUAGAUUCAUGUGCAGUUGUAAGAAAGAAUUCCAUGUUUCUUUUACCCAGUUUUUACAAUAGAAACAUGCUACAUAUCUGUAGUGGAAUAUAACCACCAACAUAUUGACAUUGAACUAAUCAGGAUGCAGGAUAGCUGCAUACCAUGAAAAUCCUCCUGACGUUCUUCUCCAUCCCCAGGGUCCUAGAUCCCACAGUCACUAAUCUAUGCUCCAUGUAUUUGUUAAAGAUGUCCAUAGAGAAUGCUAUAUAAUGGGAUGAUACCAUGUUACACUAACAGACUCAUAGAUAACAUUGUCGGGGAUUUAUCUUUCUUCAUAUAGCAUAAAUUCCUGGAGAUGUACAAAAGUUGUUGUAUGUCAUCAGUUGCUCACUCCUUUUUGUUGCUGAGUAGUUUUCCACAGUUUGCUUAACCAUUCACCUAUCGAGGGGCAUCUGGACUGUUUCCAGUGGGUGAUCACAAAUAAAGCUUCUGUAAACAUAUCUCUACAGGUUUUAUGUGACCAUAAGUUUUCUCUGUCUGGGAUAAAUGCCUGAGAGUACAAUUGCUGGAUCAUAUGGGAGUUAUAUAUUUAGUUUCUUAAAGAAACUGCCAAACUGUUUUUCCAGAGUGCCUUACCAUUUUGUAUUCUCACAAACAAUGCAUAAGUGAUGUAGUUUUUCUGAAUCCUCACUAGCAUUUGGUGGUGUCAUUAGUUUUUAUUUUGGCCAUUCUGAUAGGUGUGUAGAGACCUUUCAUUACAGUUUUAAUUUACAUUUCCUUUGUGGCUAAUGCUGUUGACUGGAUUUGACAUCUGUACACUCUCUUCAAUGAAAUGUCUUUCUGUCUUUUAUUCAUUUUCCAAUUUGGUAAUUUGUAUUUUGACUGUAGAGCUCCAAGGGUUCUUUCUAUAGGUUAGAUGUUAGGACUUUGUUGAAUAUAUUUGUUAGAAAUAUUUUCUCUCAGUCUGCGGCUUGUCUUUUCACCCUCUUGAUAUGAUUUUUUUGAAGAGCAAAAUUUAAAAUUUUGAUGAAGUACGUGUUAUCAAUUUUUUUUCUUUUAUGAUCAUGCUUCUGGUGUCGAGUCCAAGAACAUUUUGCCUAGUCCUAGGUCCUGAAGAUGUUCUUUUAUUUUCUUCCUAAAAGUUUUAUAGCUUUACCUUUUACAUUUAAGUCUGAGACUGUGAUUCAUUUUGAGUACUUUUUAAAAAAAAGUAUAAGACUUGAAUUGGGGCUCAUUUUUUUCCUGUACAAAUAUUUAUUUGUUCUAGCACCACUGAAUUGCUUUACAUCUGUAUCAAAAAACCAGUUAUAUAUAUUUGUGUGGAUCUAUUUCUGGCUUCCUUACUCUGUUUUCUGUGUCUCCCUGUAUCAAUAUCACAAUAUAUUUAUUGCAUUAGUGGUGAAGUAAACUUUGAUGUUGGGUAGAGUGAUUCUUCAUUCUUUUAAAAAGUUUUUCUUUAUUCCUUUUCAAGAUUGUUUUGAGUUUCCUAAGAUUUGUGUUUGUCCAUAUAAACUUUAGAACAAGCUUGUCCAUGUCCAGAAAAAUCCAUUACGCUAGCAUGAUAGAAGUUGCAUCUAAACUGUAAAUUGUUUUGGAGAGAUCUUUACUAUGUUGAACCUUACAAUCCAUGGUACUGGUAUAUCUCUAUAUUUACUUAGGUUCAUUUUGAUUUCAUUCAUUAGUAUUUUAUAAUUUUCAGCAUACAGGUCAUAUACAAGUUUUGUUAAGUUUUUAUCUAAAUGCCAUUUUUUUUCUGGAGAGAUUCCAAGUAAUAUUAUGUUUUAAACUUCAGUUACUUCAUAUCUGGGUGUAAGUGCACAGAAACACAAUUGAGUUUUGUUUGUUUGUCUUUUAUCUUGUGACCUUGCUAACUCAUUCAUUAAUUAUAGGUCUGUUUUUAUGAAUCCCUUUGUAUUUUCUACGUAGAUAAUUACGUUGUUUUCAAAUAAGAAUGAUUUUAUUUUUUCUUUCCAAUUUGUGUUAUUCUCAUUUCCAUAUUGCAGCAGCAGAAUGUCUAGUGCUGUAUUCAAUAAAGGUGGUAAGAGUGACUUUUGCCUCAUUUUUGGCCCUACAGGGAAGUAGUAGGUGUUUUACCAUUAAGUGUGGUGUUAUUAUAGAGUUUUUUUUUUUUUUUCCAGUACUGGGAAUUGAACUCAGGACCUUGUACUUGACAGGCAGGCGUGGCCCCACUGAGUUAAAUCCCUAGCUCUAUUGUAGUGGUUUUUUGUGGAUGCCCCUUAUCAAAUUGAGGUGGUUCCCCUCUAUUCCUAAAUUGCUGAGAAUUUUUGUUCUAAAUGAGUAUUAAAUCUUGUCAAAUGUUUUUGGUUUAUCAAUCUAUAUGAUCAUAUAAUUUUUCUUCUUUAACUUGUUGAUAUGACAAACUGCACUGAUGGAUUCCAGCCUUGCAUACCUGGAAUCAAUUGCCUUUGGCCAUGGGAUAUGAUUAUUUUAAUACAUAAUUAGAUUUGAUUUGCUAAUAUUUUGUUGAAGAUUUUUGUGUCUAAAUUCAUGAGAAGUAUUAGUCUGCAAUUUUUUAUUUUUCUUUUGAAAAGUUUCUUGUAAGGCUUUGGUAUUGGAUAAUACUGGGUCUACAAAAUGGGUUGGGAAAUAUUCUAUCCUUUUCUGUUUCUAGAGUAGAUUAUGUAAAGUCAGUGUUAUUGAUGUUAAUUUUUCUUUAAAUGUUUGGGAGAAUUCUCCAGUAAAACUGUGAGAGCCUGGAGAUCGACUCUUUCCUUCCCUCUCCCUCUCCCCUACCAUUUUCUCUGUUUCUUUCAAAAGGGAAGAUUUUAAAGUAUGAACACAACGUCUACAAUGGUUAUAGGUCUAUUCACGUUAUGUAUUUGAUUUGAUUGAGUUUUGUUUAUGAGUUUGGAAGAAUUGGUCCAUUUCUCUCUCAGUUGUCAAAUUUAUGAGGAAAAAAUUGCUUGUAGUUGUCAUUUUUAAAAUGGUUCCAAGAUCUGUGGAGAUACUCUUUCUUUCAUUCCUGAUACUGGUAGGUCAUAUUUUCCUUCUUUUUAUUUUUGAUUCUUACUACAGGUUUAUUGAUUUUUGUCAAUUCUGUCAAUCUGUUUUUGUUUUAUGGAUUUUCUCUAUUGUUAGCCCACUUUCAUUGAUUUCUUCUUUGUUACUUAUUUAUUUUUCUCUGUUUUAUUUUUCUUUUUGCAUUUCUGUUUUUCUUUAUUCAGGAAGACAUAUAGAUUAUAGAUUUUAGGCCUUUCCUCUUUCCAAUAUAUGAAUUUAGUACUAUAAAAUUUCCUUCUAUCGGUAGUAUUACAUUAGCUGUGUCCCAUAUAGUUUGAUAUGUUGCAUUUUCAUUUUAUUCAGUUAUGUGCUAUUAAAAUUAAUUUCCUUUGAGGCUUUGUCAUUGACUAAUGGGUUAUUUAGAAGUGUGACAUUUAAUUUUCUAUUGUUUAAAGACAUUUCCAUUGUCUUUUUACUUUUUCUCAUGUCCAGUUUGAUUUUGCUAUGGUCAAAAAACAUAUAUAUAAUUUGUAUAAUUUAAAUUCUUUUAUAGUUAUUGAGGUUUGUCUUAUGGUCUUGGUUUAUCUUGGUAAAUCUUUCAUAGGCCUUUGAAAAUGGGGUGCAGUAUUAUAUAUAUAGUUGACUCUUUCUAUCAAUGGGUUCUGCAUCUGUGAAUUUACCCAAACAUGGAUUGAAAAUAUUUAAAAAAAUUGUAUCUGUAUUGAACAUGUGCAGACCCUUUUCUUGUUAUUACCUGAUUAUUCUCCAGACAGUAAAGCAUGGCAAUAAUUUAUAUGACAUUUAUAUUGGAUUAGGUAUUAUAAGAAAUCUAGUUAUGAUCUGAAGUACAAGGGAGGAUAUGUAUACACCUUACAUAAAUUCCAUACCAUUUUAUACAAAACACUGGAGCAUUCAUGAAUUUUGGUGUGUGUAGGAUUCCUGGAACCAUUCCCCCAUGGAUACUAAAGGUCAACUAUAUAUGCUAAUAAGAUCUUGAUGAUCGAUUGCUUUGUUCAGAUCACUACAGUUCUUUCUGAUUUUCUGUGUAGUAGUCCUAUCAGUUGUUGAGGGUGUGAAUUUCCCCAACUAUAACUGUGGAUUAUCUUUUUGUAUAUUCACCUCUAUCAGUUUUUGUUUCAUGUAUUUAGAGCUUUGCUUGUUGUGUACAUAUCUACAAUGUUAUAUCUUCUUGGAUAAUUGAUUUUGUUAUUCAUCCCUUUUUGUCGAGCAAUUUUCUGAGGUCCAUUUUAUUGAUACUAAUAUAACCACUCAUGAUUUUUAGAAAUUAAUAUUUUAUUUUUUUAUCUUCUUAUUUUCAACAUAUUUAUGUUGUUUAAUUUGAAAUAAGUUACUUAUAAAAAGCAUGUGGUUGGGUCAUGAUUAUUUUAGGCACUCAAUCAUUGACUUUUAAUUGGUAUAUUUGGCCACUUUAUUUUAUUUUGUUUUUUCUUUCCUCUUUUUCUCCACACUUGUCUCUGUGUGGGUGACUUAAAAAUGUUUAAGUUUAAAUGUUUAAUGAUCUUGAUUUAUAGUAGUUUUUCAUAUAAAAUUUUGUAUAAUUUUCUUUUUUGUUGCGAUGAAUAUCAGAACAUCAACAUGUGAUUUAUCGCUAAUGUAGACUAUUAUAUCAACAUUUUAUCAACUGAGUAAAUACUGGAAAUUUUACAUUUAAGUCCUUUUAUGAAAUAACCUAACUUUUAAAUAUCAUGUCUUGUAUAUAUUUUUAUUCAGUGCCUUUUGUUUUUUUUUGGUACCGGGGGAUCGAACUCAGGUCCUUGCGCUUGCGAGGCAGGCGGUGGAACCACUGAGCUAAAUCCCCAGCCCUUGUAUAUAUUUUUAAAAAUAGUUUUUGUUGCAAUUGUCAUAUGUGAUUAAAAAAAAACCGUGAAAGAAGCAGGGUAUAUUGUAUUUAGCCACGCUGUGGUCUUUCUAUUUUUUGUUUUCUUCCUUCUUGAUGUUCUGAGAUUUGUUCUAUUGUUGUUUCAUUUCUAUUUGAAGAAUUUCACGUAGACAUACUUUAUGGGUGGGUCUGUUCUUUUAAGUUCUUUUAGUUUCCUUUCCUCUGAGAAUUUAUUUCUCCAUUAUUCCCAAGGGAUAGUUUUGCUGGGAAUGGACUUCUUAGUUAAUAAGUCUUUUAGCAGUUGAAAAAUGUGCUAUGUUUUUCUGGUCUUCGUGAUUUCAAAUGGGAAAUCUUAUGACAUUCAAUUUGGUGUUUUCCUUAGGUAAUAUUUUUAUUUUUCUCUUGCUGAUCUCCAGAUUUUCCUCAGUCUUUCUUUUCAAAAGUUCCAAUAUGUUGUGUCUUCCUCUGACCUAUUUUUGGGUUUAACUCUUCGAGGUUUGUUGCAUUUUUGAAUCCGUGUGCUUAUAUCUUUUGCUAAAUCUGGGAGAUUUUUAGCUAUUUCUUUGAAUGUUCUUUGAGUACCACUCUACUUGUCAUCUUCAGGGACACCAAUGAUGCAUUGUUGAGUCUUUGGUUAUUGUCCACAAGUCUCUGUUAAUUUUUUCAAUUUAGUUUUUUCAUGUUGUUCAGAAUGGGUAGAUUCCAGUGGUCUUUCCUCAGGUUUACUGACUUUCUCUGCCAUCUCUAUUAAAUAUUGAGUUUACCUAGCAAGUUUUGUAUUUCAAUUAUUGAAUUUUCCAUUUCUGUAAUUUAUAUUUCAUCCUUUUAAAUGAGCUGUAUUUAUCUACUCAAUUUUACUGACUGUUCUAACUUUUCAUUUGUUUCAAGACCAUGUGUAAUUUCUUGUGGAACCACUUUUGUGAUGCUUAUUAUUGUCAGUCCAUUUCAAUAUCAGGCUUACUGCAGUAUUGGCAUUUGUGGAUUGUCUUUCAUUCAAGUGGUGAUUUUGAUGGCUGUUGAUAGGAUAAGUGACUUUUGAUUGUAUUCUGAAAAUUUUGGCUUUUAUUUUAGAAGACUCUGGAUCCUAUUUAAACUUUUAUGUGAACAAGCAGUCGGUAUGUUUAGGUUAGGUUUAUUUUACAGGCCCUAGUCUACUUUUAGGGCUGUGGUUUAAUUUUUAGAGUCAAUGUGGUGUUAUUUUGGUACUGGUCCCUGCUUAUUCUUGAAUGGGAAGAAAAAUUUCCCCAGGCUGGGACUUCUGAUAAAUCCUUUUGGAGAAGGGUCUCUUACAUAGACAAAGAACACCUCCCAGACUGGAACUUGGGUGAUGGGUUCCCCAUAUCUGUGGGGGAUGGAGAGAGCUUCUUGGACCAUGUGACUGUUAUGAAAAGAUCCCUUACGACUUCAUAGUGUCUCUGAGUGGUAGAAGAGAAUCUAGACCCUGUGAGGAGAAAGAUUUAUUGUUGGUCUAGGGUUACAUUUUAUGCUAUGAACCCCUUGGUAGUGCCUCUAGGUGGGGGUUGCACAGUGUCUUUGAGUGGUGGGUGGGAGUCUCAGGCCUAACACCUCAGUUAGUUUUUAAUCUUUUGCUGCUGCUGGCCCCCAUGUAUGGAGGGUGGGGAGCCGAGCCAUGUUGAGUGAGCAUUGUCCUAUCUUCCUGGGUUAGACACUCAUGAACAUUGCCUGUUCUCUGAAUAUAUGCUGCUUGACACAUUGGCCACUGGAAAGAAAUAGUUGGGGGCAACCCACCUGGCUUCUCCUAACAAAGCUCUUCUAGAAUAAACAUGCAUUCUCCUAACAUGUUCUGCAGGUGCUCAGGGUGUCCCACCUAAGCCUGGCACUUCUUUGGCCCUCCUCACAUCAUUUUUUGUCGUUCUUUUCUGAGUAUAUGUUUUCUUUCUCAAUCAACUUUCAUCUUCUCUUUAUAUUUCAAGACGUCCUCAUGCCUUUGGGUCUACUAAAGAGACCCCUUUCUGUAUUUCAGGGGAGAGUAGAAGGGUACUUAUGCCAGGUGUCACAUGUCACUUACCGAUGGUGAUACAUUCUGAGAAGUGUGUCAUUAAAUUAUUUUAUAAUAUGAAUAUUAUAGAGUCUACUUACACAAACUUGGAUGAGUAUAGUUUACUGAUACCAAGGCUAUUUAAUAUAGCCACACAUAUGUUGGUUAUAUCUAAUCAGGUCAACAGACACACACACAGAGACACACACACACACAGAGAGAGAGAGAGAGAGGGAGGGAGAGAGAGAGAGGCAGAAAGACGUAGAAACAGAGCAAUAGACUGAAAAUACAAUUUACUGCUAUCAUUGUUAAAAGAUACGCAGUUCAUGUUGGACUGAAAUGUCAUUACAUUUCAGACUUUGAGAGUAGAAGUUUAGCUUCCCAUCUUCACUUAAUCUCUUUUUCAAAGUCUGUUUUCUCAAACUUUCUAGAAUAAACACGCAUUACUUUGAUAUCAGUGAAAUCCAUAAAAUGAUGAAAAAUCUUUCCCAUUUUCUUGGCUCUGUGUUGCACAUUCUGCUAGGGGUACAGGCUCAGUGCCUUCCUCUUGAGGAGCUCACAGUGAGGGGGAAAUGCGUGUUCUUUGGAAAAUGUCCCCCAGGCAGUGGAAGGAAUAUCUAUGCUCUUGGGGGCAUGGAGCUGGGGCUUCCAGCUGCAGAGCUGGGCUCAUCCUCUGAAAGGGUGUGUGCAACUGUUGAAGGUUGCUCCCGAGUCUCACAGGAGGGGCUAAUCCUUCCCCUUCUUCAAAUUGCCAGUGUGUGCAAAAUGCUAACACUACACAUUUAAGUGACGUAUAGAUCAGAACAGAAUCAUAGCUUGAUGACAUAAAUUAAAGUAAUUAUAUUCAUUAGCAUGAUAAAAAAUAUGCAAACAAAUGUUUAUUAAAUGCAACCAUACAUCAACUCCAAAGGCUUUGGCGUUGUUUAUGUCUUUGUUGCUUCAGCAUUUUGUCAAAGGUGGCCUGUCAUGCUGAACUUAAUUGACACUAAUAAAAGCGGAGGGAGGAGGAGCCAGCCCAGAAUGUCAUUUGGCUGUGUAAGCUCAGGAGGGUUGAGGAUUUGCCUCCAGGCCUCACUGAGUCUUUCUGCCACUGGCCCUCACGUAGGCUUGGAGAAGGAAGUCCAGGUCUCCUCAUGUUUAAUGGAGGCAGCACUGCCAACCUUAUCGAGAUAUUUGAGGAUGCACACCCAAGGGUCCAGAGUCCCUUUCUCCUACUAUCAGCACCUGAUCAGAUAAAAGGGACCGUUUUCUGUAAGGGUUAGAUAUGUCUUCCCAGCAGCUGUUGUCCCCUCUCUGGCAAGUGGAAGUGCUUGCCUGUGCUCAAGAUGGGAGUAGCAAGGCUGUGGUACACUUGUGUUGGGUGCUGGCUGGUGAACCUGGCAGGCUGCUCUGACAAGGCAUCUUAUUUUCCCUGAAAGCAUCCGAAUACUACCUAGAAGCCUACUCACAAAAAGAGCAGCCUUAGCUGUGAUGCUCAAGUUCACCGAGGGACUUGCUUUGCCAUGAGAACUGGUAUAUCACAGAUUUGCCUCUGAGCGAAGGCCCUGUCCAAUGGGCACAUGGCCAGUAAUUAUUACCAUUGUUUACCAAGCCCUGAAGAGUGUUUAGAAAGAGCCAGGCUGGAAGCAAUUUGAGCAGUCUGUCUGUCUUCUGUCCAGUGUGUGUUGAGUGUAGCUCAGGUGGAGAGUGAAGACCAUGAGGAAAUGUGGAGAGGGAGAUAUGGACAAUAAGCAAGGCAGAUGGUCUAGGGAAGAGAUCAGAGCUGGUCAUUGCUUUCCCUCAGCUUUAUUUUUCUACCUCUGUGUUAUACUUCAAGUUCUAUGAAAACCUUAGUCAGCCUUAGUCAGGAGGAUUUGGCUCUGGUUGUGGACAGUUUGGAGUAUCAUUCAGUCCCAUCCAUCUUGGGGACCUGUUUAUCUCCUAGUCAAGGGGCAGUUGAGCGACUUACUAUGCCACAUCUUGGAUUUGUCUUUUCCGAUUCUUGUCUCUGAUGACCAUUAGGCUCUCUGUCCAGUUUGACUUUUUGGGUCUCACCAGUGCUCCUACAUCUGCCCUUUACAGGAAAAAGAUGUUGUAGAGAACAAGGCUUCUUCAUCUUUAGAAGAUUCCUUCCAUCUUGAAAAGGAAGUAGAAAUGGAAAUGCUGAGAUUCAGAUGUCUGGAGUCACCAUGACCCCCAGAAUAAUAAGAAGAAAAGGUACUCUUUUUAAAACAAGAAAAUACAACCUUGACAGAGAGAAGUGAUUCAUGCCUAAUGGUUCCUGUGAAGGUGUGAGGGGUCUUUGGACUGGGAUAAGGCCCUGAAGUCUCCAUCUUUAUAGGUGAAAUUGAGGUGGUUACAAAAGGUAAGGACUUCUGUGGAACUGGAGGUCUUUUUGUAAGAAAAGGGAUCAGAAGAUGUGGAGAAACACUGGCUGCACAUGAUGGUGAUAAAUGACGACAGGCCAGGCAUGGCUGGGAAGGAUGCUCCACAUGCUGCUGUCCUACUCCAACAUCUGGCUGGGCAGAUUUGCCUUCUGAGCCCAGGACAUGGCUUGGUGAACAUCUCCAGACAGCACAUCCUCAUCCUAAGGUUAGGUCAGCAGACACCUGCAACAAAUAUGAUUGCAAGGGUGAAGGUGACAUGAUUUACUUAAAUCAGGCAAUUUCUCCAUUAAGGCAUUGAAGCCUCAAUUCAUAAAGACACUCUUUAGCAGGCUGUCUGCAGGCGAGGUCUGUCCUCAGCAAAUCAAAGCAUCGGGGCGCGUGUACCUGCUGCCGUCUCGCCCCUCCUCCGCGACACUGCCCGAGAUUAAGUGUUGAUUCAAUACGAUGCUUCACCUUCUACAAGUGAUGGCGACCUGCCGAUCUGUGCUGUUUUUGGUGGGAGUGCUCUGACUGGGCUCUAAAAUCUUCCUGUUUUUUUGCCAUACCAUGAAAAUAUAAAAGUCUCAUUUCAAAAACUGGAAAUAAGUGACCAGCUGGCUGACAGUGAGGUCCUCCACUUCAGGGAGCGGG
This 15976-nucleotide long non-coding RNA is filed under the name Heterocephalus glaber (naked mole-rat). RNAcentral's name for it is "lncRNA (ENSHGLG00100036627.1)". Lineage: Eukaryota; Metazoa; Chordata; Mammalia; Rodentia; Bathyergidae. The record is from RNAcentral.